This 91-nucleotide transfer RNA is filed under the name Chloroflexota bacterium. RNAcentral's name for it is "tRNA-Asn". It matches the Rfam family "tRNA". Rfam says of the family: Transfer RNA (tRNA) molecules are approximately 80 nucleotides in length. Their secondary structure includes four short double-helical elements and three loops (D, anti-codon, and T loops). Further hydrogen bonds mediate the characteristic L-shaped molecular structure. tRNAs have two regions of fundamental functional importance: the anti-codon, which is responsible for specific mRNA codon recognition, and the 3' end, to which the tRNAs corresponding amino acid is attached (by aminoacyl-tRNA synthetases). tRNAs cope with the degeneracy of the genetic code in two manners: having more than one tRNA (with a specific anti-codon) for a particular amino acid; and 'wobble' base-pairing, i.e. permitting non-standard base-pairing at the 3rd anti-codon position. Lineage: Bacteria; Bacillati; Chloroflexota. The record is from RNAcentral.
UGUGGAGUGGCGAAAUAGGUAAACGCAACCAGUUGUUUACUGGUCGAGUCGGGGCAGACUUUUGAAGGUUCGAAUCCUUCCUCCACAGCCA